Molecule: long non-coding RNA, 4946 nt
Organism: Ictalurus punctatus (channel catfish)
Lineage: Eukaryota; Metazoa; Chordata; Actinopteri; Siluriformes; Ictaluridae
Source: Ensembl
GGAACAUUUUAGAUCAUUAUUUUCUAAAUGUGGUAUCUUAUUAUUUACGUGUUUUUUUGGCUUUUUUUUUUGGCUUUUUUUUUGGGCUUUUUUCCCCUCCAUCAUUUGACAAACUGCUAUGAUACAGAAAAUCAAUAAUGUUAUAUAUUUUUUAAUUAAAUUCAGGAAUAAUAAAAAGGUAUGACCUAACACUAAAUGGACUAAUAAACACUAACCACACCCAAGAAAGAAAUUCUUAACCAGGAAACAAAGCAAAACAAUAAUUUAGGUUGUAAUACCCGCUAAGUUAAAAAAAAAAAAAAUGUUUCUUCAGCACACACACUUCAUUAAUUUUUUUACAUAGAAAAACAUAGAAAAAGAUUCAUAGCUGGUAUCAUGGGAAACGCUAGCAUCGAAAAAAAAUUGCUGUUCUCACCUGCUACCCACACACACACAUCCGUGCUAAGAUAUGCUAGCAAACACGGAUGUGUGUGCUCAUACACUCUAAUCAAAAACCCACCCAGAAACACGUGAACAUGAAUGGUAAUGUCCUCUCUGUCGCUAUCGCUCACUUUCUAUUCCAGUCACACUCACGCUUGUACACACACUUCACUAGGCUUGGUGUGAUGGUGGCUAAUUUAGCGCUUAUGUGGUAUAGAGGUAAUAGGAUCUGUAAGCAUAGUCUCUCUCUCUAUCUCUAUCUCUGUCUCUCUGUGAUUUUCUUAAGUGUUUAACUGAUCUGGUGCCCUUUAUCAAGUAACAGCGUCUUUUCGGAAAAAGGUUGGGCUCUUUAGCCAAAUAGCUUCUUGCUAAUUAUGAGCACAUUUCAUUCUAAAGGUCACUUGCUACUUACACACAUGUAAGAAUUUAAAAGUGUACUGUGGGUGUGGUUAUGAGUCCAUCCACUUGUUUUUAUGUAACUUAAUAUGUUAAUAUAGAAAAUAUGAUGUGGUGUUCUUUAAUAAACACACGACACACAGUGGUUUAUUCCUUACAUACAACACAGCAGAUCGCAGAAACAGAAAACGAGCCAACCUGCGUGCGAUAGUACUGCGUUUUCUAAAAAUAAGCACGUUUAAUAAGCAUAAACAUUCAUACAUGUCAACUGAAAGGUUUUCACAUAAAAUUCAUUUUAAAGAAAUAUUUCAAACGAGAUGAACGGGAAUAGGGUGAAGUUUAACGCCAAGAUUUAAAAAAUAACAUCAAUACUUAGAAUUGGAUGAAUGGGAGUACCUCAAGGCUCAGCUCUAGGCACAAUCUAAAUGUCCUAUCUUUAAUAAAGUGCAAUAAAACAAUAAAAAAAAGAAUAAACCUAGAAAUGUCAUAAUGUCUAUUAUAUUGUCAAAUACAUAUUCAGCAAAAUUUAAGAGGGAAAUCAUGUAUUUAGAAUUGGAUUAAUGAAAAACCUCAAGGGUGAGCUGUAGGCCCGAUCAAGAUUAGAAAAAGGACCCAAUAUAAAUGACGUAUCAAAACGAUUCCAUAUUCAUAUUUUCUACCUCACUACAGUCCAGAGAAGCUUUUUUUUAAUGUUCUGAGGAAUGCAAACAAUGGCUCUGCUAAUUAUAUUAUAUAGCGCUUUGUUUUCUAAUGACGUUUUCGGUCCAGAACGUCAGUGUUAUGAAUUAUUCAUAUAUCCUGUGAUCUAGCGGGCAGAGAGUAAUAAAUGCACAUCCGCCCCUCUCCUUUCUGCUUCAGAAAAAUUCAAUCAAAAUGCAGGCUGAUGUAUAUAUCAGACCAUAGUUUUUGUAGGGAAACAAAAAGAAUAGUGUGUAAGUCUUAUCAAAAAGAGAAUAUUCCUUCGGUCACAAAAAAAGCCUGAAAAUCCCACAGACAUAAAUAUCCUACCAUACCAUUCCAUAGAUAUUACCACACCAUAAAUAUUCUACCACUCAGUAUCCACCUUAAGCCUUAUAUUUAUUUACAUUCAUCCAUAUAAUUAUAUAAUUUUUACAGUUUUAUAACAAGAAAGUUUACACUGUGCUAUUUUCGUUGGGACAUUCAGUGUCGCACAUAAGACUCUCGCAUGGUAAAAACAUUCUUCAGCGAUUAAUUGGUAGCUGAUUUAGUACUGUACUUUGGCAACCAAAGACAUCUGACGACAAAGUUCUGUCACCUUGAGAAAUUUUGAAUUAAAAUCUAUGUGAGUGUGAGCGCUGUUGAAAGCCAAUAGUAUGUAUAGUAUGACCAAUAGGAGGAUGGUAUGACCAAUAGGAGGAUGGUAUGAUCAAUAGGAGGCUUGGUAUGAUCAAAAGGAGGAGGUAUGACCAAUAGAGACAUGGUAUGACCAAUAGGAGGAGGUAUGACCAAUAGGAGGAUGGUAUGACCAAUAGAAGACAUGGUAUGACUAAUAGGAAGCAUGGUAUGACCAAUAGGAGACAUGGUAUGACCAAUAGGAGGAUGGUAUGACCAAUAGCAGACAUGGUAUGACCAAUAGGAGGAUGAUAUGACCAAUAAGAGGAUGGUAUGACCAAUAGGAGACAUGAUAUGAUCAAUAGGAGACAUGGUAUGACCAAUAGGAGGACGGUAUGACCAUUAGGAGGCAUGGUAUGACCAAUAGGAGGCAUGAUAUGAUCAAUAGGAGGCAUGGUAUGACCAAUAGGAGACAUGAUAUGAUCAAUAGGAGACAUGGUAUGACCAAUAGGAGGACGGUAUGACCAAUAAGAGGCUGGUAUGACCAAUAGGAGGAUGGUAUGACCAAUAGGAGGCAUGGUAUGACCUACAGCAGAAGUUAUGACCAAUAGGAGACAUGAUAUGAUCAACAGGGGGCAUGGUAUGACCAAUAGUAGGAUGGUAUGACCAAUAAGAGUAUGGUAUGACCAAUAGGAGACAUGGUAUGACCAAUGGGAGGAUGGUAUGACCAAUAGGAGGCAUGGUAUGACGGCGAACUCGCGGGAGAUUUUAUUGACCACUUUAAUUGCAGUGCCUAAGACAGGAUUUGUCUUCAUAAUGAACUGGUUAGUUAAGUACAUUAGCUAGCUAAGGUUAGCAUUUCUGUCCUUUGUAGAAAUUAUUCUAGAUGGUGUUUGUUUGUAAAGAAAUAGAAACUGAGAUAUUGUAUAAGUAUUUCCAGAGCAACUCAAAAAGAAGGAUUUGCUAAGCGCUUUAACUCGACAUAACAUCAAGCUAUUUCAUUUGAGGCCAAAGCCUGGCGGCCAUGUUUUAUUUACUCCUCAUGCAUUAUUGACGCAUAAUUCAGGAUGGAGCUGAUAUCUGUGUCGGGAAGUUAUGACGAUUUCAUUACCUCUCUCUCUCUCUCUCUCUCUCUCCCUCGCUUUGAAAUGCAGAUUGGAGUAUUGCUUACGAGCAUGGUUUACUUACUGGCUGAAGCGUAAAAGUCGUCUUCAAAAGCUGGAGGUCAAGUGUCUAUAGAACCUUUAGUCCAUGUAUCCCUGCACCGUGGCUAAAAUGGAACAAUAUCCUUUUAUCUUUUCUUGUGUUGUGAUCACAAGGGAGCUCAGAAACCCAAAAAAUAAAACAGAAAAAGAUGGUGGAGAUAAGGGAAUUAUGUGUUUUUCACUUCCUCCUCUCCUGCUUUCUUCUGUUUUCCCUGAAUCCCCUAGCGAGAAAAUUGAUGGACUGACAGGACUGACAGGAAAAAUGCAGCGACCCAGAUUGAACUUUCAUGCAAUUUCACUCCAACAAACAUUAGAGGAAGAAAGAAAUAAAGAAAGAGAGAGAGAGAGAGAGAGAGAGAGAGAGAGAGAGAGAAUGUAAGAGAGAGAGUUGGUUUAACAAUUAAAGCCUUACCCUGAUACUAAGGCAUUAGCAAACACCUCAGGCUAAGCUAACACAAAUUAACCUGACUGGAAAUUAAUGACUGUUUCCUCCCCCCUGUUUCUUUCACCAUCAACGUGUUUUUUUUUGUUGUUGUUGUUUUUGUUUUUUUCUGGACAGAUCUACGGCUGCGAUAAAACAACAAACAUUCUGUGUUAUAGAGCACGGUCAUUAGCAAGCUAGCGUAAUGAACCGUUGAUGAGAUUGAAGUAAAUCUUCACUCUGCUUAGUUAAUGUAAUCACUCUCAAAGGCAGGGGCGGGGGGACGCAAUCACGAUACACAUUCUUAUUUACUUAACUUUGUUUUUGUUUUGUUUUUUGUUAUAUCCAAGUCUCUCUUCUGCAGUUGGAAAUUCAACUACGAGAAAACAGGCGGUAGCCUGAUGCUAGCAGAAGCAGAUGGCAAAAAAUUGUAAAUCACUGUAAUGAAAGAGCUCCAAGCCAAACUCAAGAACUUCAUACAUUACAUUCGAUUAAAGAAGCGUGUUAAGACAAUUGUGAGCAUUUGAAGCUUCACCACAUUUAUAUUGUGCACGGUAGAGUAUAUUGUGUUUACUAGCAAAGCUACUGGAAUCAAGACAAAACAAUGGUGUUAAUUGGCAAUUUGCUGUAGGACAAGAGGAAUAGCAUACUCCGUGUCGUGCUGUAAUAGUAAUAUAAUCAGCAACAGAGUGGUGUCAUGACGCGUUGAUUAUUUUCAUAUAACGGCGACGUGUUUUAUUCCUCUUAUACCAGUUCGCGAACAUACGUGGACAGAAUUCUGGGUGCUGAUUGGUCAGAAGGCAUUGCUUAAUUACGAAAAACAAGAAGUGGCUAAUUUGUUUUCCUCUAUAACAGCACAUUCCAUUGUGAGAUUUAUUUUACAUUGUAUUACUCCCUAGAUAAUAGCUUAGUGUAACCGGAGUAGUAAGGAGACGCGAUGGGGGUUGAGAUUCCAAUUCCAAUUUGCAUAUCAUGAAUAUUCAUAAAUCCUUUCAUUCUUUAUGAAUGUAAAGGUGAAGAGAUGUAUGUUCCUGGGUGAUUUUUAGUCAUUUCUCAAUUUAGUAUUCAACCUAGGGAUUUUUUGUUGUUUGUUUGAUUUUGGUAAUGACUUAAAACUAGACAUUCAUGGGUACUUUAACACACAAGUGAGAACUAAUCAGUGUUUUUUGGACACAGUUUGUUAAUGUUCAUGUUUCAUAAUUAUGUUUAUC